AGGGAUCCGGUUGAUCCGGGUUAGGACUCUCUCACCACUGGAUUAGCUUGGGCGGUUGUUCGGCGGUACGGGAAUGUCAACCCGUUGUCCAUCGACUACGCCUGUCGGCCUCGCCUUGGUCCCGACUUACCCAGGGCGGAUUAACAUGGCCCUGGAACCCUUGGUCUUUCGGAGGACGGGUUUCUCACCCGUCUUUCGCUACUCAUGCCUGCAUUCUCACUCGUGAAGCGUCCACGGCUGGAUCACCUCCUAUAUGCACAAUGGGCGAAAGCCUGAUGCAGCAACGCCGCGUGAGGGAUGACGGCCUUCGGGUUGUAAACCUCUUUUAGUAGGGAAGAAGCGAAAGUGACGGUACCUGCAGAAAAAGCACCGGCUAACUACGUGCCAGCAGCCGCGGUAAUACGUAGGGUGCAAGCGUUGUCCGGAAUUAUUGGGCGUAAAGAGCUCGUAGGCGGUUUGUCGCGUCUGCUGUGAAAUCCCGAGGCUCAACCUCGGGCUUGCAGUGGGUACGGGCAGACUAGAGUGCGGUAGGGGAGAUUGGAAUUCCUGGUGUAGCGGUGGAAUGCGCAGA
This 571-nucleotide ribosomal RNA is filed under the name Microbacteriaceae bacterium HRRP055. RNAcentral's name for it is "bacterial SSU rRNA". The stretch from base 199 to 571 matches the Rfam family "Bacterial small subunit ribosomal RNA", at positions 1 to 694 of the family's 1533-position model. The record is from RNAcentral. Lineage: Bacteria; Bacillati; Actinomycetota; Actinomycetes; Micrococcales; Microbacteriaceae.